UCUCAUCAAUAGGUAGUUCAUCCAGAUAUAAACUCAGUAAAGUCAUUUUGGACCUAAAAAUAUUAUAAAUCAAAUGGAAUCAACAUACAUCUUUAGAAUAUCUAACAUCACUUGAAUAUAGUUUCUUCUCAAUGGCUCAUGAAACCUUCUCCAAAAGACCAUAUUUUAGGCUACAAAACAACUCUUAGUGAAUACAAAAAAUAAUUUUUAUAAUUCCUUGCACCUACUUAGAUCAUAAUGGAAUUAAAUAGGAAAUCAACACCGAAAAAAAAAUUACAGAAACUACAUAAACUCAUGGAGAUUGAAUGACACACUUUUGAAAGAUGAAUGAGUAAAGAAUAAUUCAGGGGAGAAAUUUAAAAAUUCUUAAGUUCAAAUGAGAAUAAUUAUAUAAAAUACAAGAACCCUUGGGGCACCAUGAAGGCAAUUCUAAAAAGAGAGU
This 442-nucleotide long non-coding RNA is filed under the name Marmota monax (woodchuck). The record is from RNAcentral. Lineage: Eukaryota; Metazoa; Chordata; Mammalia; Rodentia; Sciuridae.